This is a non-coding RNA of Oryzias latipes (Japanese medaka), 1871 nucleotides long. Lineage: Eukaryota; Metazoa; Chordata; Actinopteri; Beloniformes; Adrianichthyidae. The record is from RefSeq and is a predicted model, not a curated record.
GUGGCUCAGAAAAGGUAGAAAAACUCUGAUCUAAGAUAGCACAAGGGUUAAAGAAGAAAUAAAAAUAACAUUUGAACUAUUUUUCUACUCAAAUAAAUUAGAACAUUAUUUCAAUACUUUAUGUAUGUUUUUCUCUUUAGAUACAAACAGCUUUGAUGUCCUUCAGAUAAUAAUAAAUAUGGAGUUAAUAAUAACAAUGAUAAUAUUAUUAAUAAUAACAGUUCUUUACUCGGAUUUUGGUGGGAUUUCCAUCAAACCUUCAUCAGAAGUUUUCUCGGUUUUGAUUUUUUUCUUCCUGUCAGUAAAACCCCAACAGACUCAGAGAGAGAACCACCGACCGUUAGACGGGACAUUCCGGUUUCACAGCAUCCUGCCCAUCAUCAGUGGGGUCGCGACCUUCAAAGUGAAUGUCCAGAUCACAGACAGGCCUGAUGCCUUGCUCAAAGGACGCAGCGCUGGGCCGGCGUUUGUUGGAGGCGGAGGAGCUGACCUAUUUUAAAGUGCUGCAGUCUCAUCCCGAUAAGAACGGCGAGCAUCUCCCCGCCGGAUUACAGCCCCCCCCCACACCCACAACAGCAACCAUCCCGCCGUGUGACUGGCUGCUGGCAGCGCCGCGAUUUCACGCGCCGAUACACCUGUUAGGAGCUUCUGAAGCCCAGCGUCACGCAGACCAGAAACCCGGGAGGAGAACUCAGAGAACCGGCUCAGAGGAGACGCUCCGCCCCCGACGAGGCGGCGGCAGAUGAUGUCAUCCUAAGAUGGAACCACUUCAUUCAUCCAAAUAAAUCAAAUGGAACUUUUGGCCGGUACAUUUUCAAAAUGAAAAGUCCAAGAAGAACAUUUCCGAGCACAGAGCCGUUUGUCAACAACCAGCGGAUGUCUGCUGGAGCCGAGCCGAGGAGGAGCUGCAGCGGAGGAGGUGCAGAGGGGCCUGCUGCUCCUCAAAGUGAUGGAGACGUGACGGCUGGGAGGAGAUCGACCCUGUCUAGCAGCUUCACGGAAAAGCAGAAGAACGUUUGGGAAACGUGAAAAAACAGGAGCGCAGAGGAGACGCCUCGCCUCCUGCAUGUGUGGGAGGAGCUAUGGGUCGUUCAGGUGGUUCAGAAUCUGGCUCUGUUAGUCGUGAAGAAGAGGAUGACAGGCCAGGCGCCAAACUUUCAACCUUUCGCUUUCCUCAGGGAAUGCAUUUGUGGGCGGGGCUAAUCAGUUAAAUGGCUGUCAGGUUUUUGAUGAGGUGGGCCAAACCGAUCAGAGCGUGGGGGGGGGGGCUCUCCAUCACUCAGCAUCUGUGGAGUGAAGAAAGGUUUGCUUCUGUGGGCGGAGAAGCUGCAGCAGCGUUUCCAUCAGUCCAGGUGAGACGACCUUUCCACCAAUCAGAGAGCGGUGCUCCCACUUCAGCUUUCUGUGGGCAUAAAGUUCACGGGAAGUUUGAGUGACACCGGCAGAGCUGAAGCGUCUGCACCCGGUCUCACUCUGUGCUGCUCCAGGGCUCUGUGGCAGCCUCCGAGGGAAACGGUAACCAUGACGACAGGUAACCACUAACAACCAGCAUCCCUAACAACCGCUGCUCAGCAAACGAGCUCUCUGAUUACAGGACUGCUGCAGGAGACGACGGGCUUUCCUGAAGAUGAGCUGCAGAUGAAGAUGAUGAUGAAGCAGCAUCGGCUUCUGCUGAUGAAGAGUCAGAACCAGCAGAAAUCCUCCUCUUCCUCCUGCAGCUUCUAAGCACCCAGAUGAGGUGAUGAUGACGAUGAUGAAGAUUCACAGAAUUCCCAACAUCUCUGCCUUCUGAGCUGAAACACAACCUUUUGAGGUGUGGAUGAUGUCAGAGAGGGGGGUCUGUUCCGGUUCUUUUUUUUUUUUUUUUUAAC